GCCAGCAGCCAUAUCACCCUGCAACUAACAACUGGCCCCACUAAAGCUAAGCAGGUGUGAGCCUGGUCAGUACCUGGAUGGGAGACCUCCUGGGAAAAACUAAGGAUGCUGCUGGUC
This 117-nucleotide ribosomal RNA is filed under the name Lepisosteus oculatus (spotted gar). The record is from RNAcentral. Lineage: Eukaryota; Metazoa; Chordata; Actinopteri; Semionotiformes; Lepisosteidae.